RNAcentral lists this long non-coding RNA (13324 nucleotides) under Gossypium barbadense (sea-island cotton). Its description in RNAcentral is "long non-coding RNA (GBAR_LNC018229)". The record is from RNAcentral. Lineage: Eukaryota; Viridiplantae; Streptophyta; Magnoliopsida; Malvales; Malvaceae.
CCGGCAUAGGUGGCUCGAUGGACUCCAUUGUUGAUGAUGGGGUCGAUGAUAAGGUCAUAAACAACCUGGAUUUCGAUCCAUUUCUUGUAAGAGCUGGUAAUUUUAAGUUUAAAUUGUGAAAGAUGGAUUUAGGAAACUGGGUUUUGUUUCUUGUUGCUGUUGUUAGAAUGCAUGGUAAAGGACCAAUAGCAGAAGCAGCUCUAAGAACAUCCAUGGCUGACUAUAUCUUCUUUUAUUUUCUUCGUCUUUUAAAACACUCUAUUGGUUCUUCAAAGCUUAAGCAAAGAGGAGAAAGAAAGAACUUGAGGCUGUGAGGAAAUGAAACUGAGUGAUGUGAUGUGAUCUUAGUGAGGCUAAAAAUGAAUUAAAUAGUAAUCAAUGAACACUCCCAAAGCAAAGACUUUGAAGGUUUGCAUUUUGCAAAAGUCAACAUGACUUUGUAGGAUUACAAUUCACUAGACUUCUCCGUCUCGAAAAUGAAUGGGAUAUGAAUAAAAAUAUAUAUCAAAAAAUAGAUUUAGGCAAAAAAAGAAGGUUGAUUUUCUAAACAGAUUGUAUCUCGAGUAAGUUUUUUUGGCCUAAGUCCGGCUUGGCUCGGAUACCCUUAACAAAGUAUCGAUACCUUUUUCAAAAGUAUCGACACCCUGCUUGAGAAUCAAUACCUUGGGGAAGGUAUCGAUAUCUCAUAAUAAGUAUCGAUACAUUCCCUAUUGUAUCAAUAUUAUAGGCUUUAAUAUGGGCUGAAAAGGAUCAGGCCCAAGUUUAGCAUCUAUAACCUAGGUUGGGUUUGGGCAAAAAUUUAGGUCAAUUUUUCGAACCAAGCCCGAGCCUAUUAAUUGGACCUAAAAUUUUAUUAGGGCUUAACCCGAACCAACCCAUGAACAACUCUUCGAGGGAGGAACCAAUAAAAUAAAUGUGUUGAAAUUAGGCUCAACUUAUACUACUUUAAAUAAUAACUUUUUUAAAUUCAGAAGAAUCUUGAUCACCAAAAUUAACAUGUGAAAAUUAAAAUUAACUUAUACAACAAAAAAAAAGUUAAAUGUUCAAUUUGUAUUAAAUAUUUUAAUUAUUUAAGCAUUAACUAUUUUACCAAAUUAAUAUUUAAAUACUACUUUGUAUUAGUUUAUCAAAUUAAACUAAAAAUAUUAUUAAAUUUAUCGUAAAAAUUUAUAAUUCUAUAAAAGAAAUCAAGUUAAAAGAAACUCUGGAAAACUUUGGGGGUGGAACACAAAUUUACCCUAUUUUUAAGCAUUAAUUAUAAGGUCAAUAAAAAAUUUUAAAAUUUAAAUGGGUUGAAUUGAAAUUUUAUAAAAUUUAGACGGCAUCCCUAGUGGUAAGAUGAAAAGUCAUCGUAUCAGGUGGAUAAAAAGAUAAGAGAGUGGUUAAAAGGAAGAGAAAGAAAGUAGGAAAAAUGUUCUCUUGUAUUGGUCUCUUCAGUGCAAUGAUAAGUCGUAUAUAUGACAUCUCACAUGUCAUGACCUCACUAGCAAAAAGGUCACGUCUUGUCUUCUCACAGGCGCGGCAAUGCGAAUUCAUAGGUGAGUAAUGCAACGUCUUAAGAUGGUUAAACAAUUAAUGGGUGUAAUUUUACAUGUACUCUUAACGAAGCUAGUCUAUAAUGAAGGUUCGUUCACCUUACUAUAGAGCCACUCGAUGUUAUGAGUUCAACCAAUAGGAUUAGAUUUUUUAAAACCUUGUUCAUGGCAUGUAAUCUAGAACAUUUAAAAGUAGAGUUGAAAACACAUAAAAUAUGUAUAUUUAAUUUCUAAUCAUUGUUGGUAUAGGAAAAGAAAAAGAAAAAGAUAGUUCAACUAGCUUUUAACCUUACAUACAAAGUAAAGGGUGCCAUAUUCACAUAAACUUACACAAAAGCAUGGUUAUAGUCAUGGUAAUGAAAAUUCUUGUAAAUGAAAUGAGCCAACCAUUUUGAAGCUGCAAAACAAACGAUAGCCAUUGAUACCAUUGUUGUUUUAACCACCAUUGAUAUCAUGUUUUGCUUUGUUACAGCAACGAUGCCAAUCAAACCAACAGACAUGAUUUGUAGUAUUACUUCGAGUGCCUUGAGACAUUAUGUGCAGUAUUACAACUCUUACAAUUCACCACAUGACUCCAAUACCUGCAAAACAAGAACAAAGGUUAUAAGGUAUGUUACCCGGGUUCAGAGCGUUGGAUUCACGUACAUAUUCGAUACAGGUAUGUUCAUAUGUUAGGAUACAAGCUCCCAUAUUUCGAGAAAAGUGAAGAGUCAGAGCAAUAUAAGGACAAAGUUACUAAAUUUACCUGUCCAUUAGUUGUUCUCUAGGAGGGGACGGAGGAAGAGCUCCACUAUACUUCCCUUUCCAAUCAAUCUCACCGCCGGCAUACUUGUUGAACCACCUUCGGAAACCGACUACUAAGGCAUCCGACUUUGUAGGCACGAAACAAGCUUUUUGCCAACUGGUAGCCCCGAUUUCCAUUAUUUUACGCUCCUACAUGGAGAAAUAAGGUGUAAAACAAAACGAAGUUUACCAGGCAAGAAUAUUUGCAUAUAGCUAUGUGUUAAACAUGAGUUCUUCAUAUAUUUAGAGGGUCCUUAAAAGUUGAUUGUCCAAAUAAGCAUGGAAUAUGAUUGUCAGAUACUGAGUACUCAUAAAAAAAGUGAAUGUACCUAAGAGGCCUCUCUGUUAUAGGGAUUUGAUCAAAUUAGUCCUUCAACUAUUAAAUAGAUCAAUUUAGUCCCUUUACUAUUAAAAAGAAUCAAAUAAGACCAAAUUAGAAUAGAGUUAAAAUUUACUAUUUUAAAAAGUUAAUAUUUUUAAAGUUUUUACGAUUUUGUAAAUAAAAUCUUUUGUUUAGAUUUGAGUUGCAAUUGAAAAAUAAUAAUUUUCAAUACAUUUUUUAGAUAGUGAAUGUUAACUCUAUUACAAUUUGGACUUAUUUGAUUCUUUUUAAUACUAUAAGGACUAAAUUAAUCCAUUUAAUAAUAGAGGGGACUAAUUUGAUCCAGUACCUAUACAGGUACUUUAACCCAUAAACAAAUGAAAAGUCGAAGCCAUAUAGAUUUUUUGAAUGAAACUCAUCAAAGAGCCAGAGAUAUAGGAAUCACCUCAACAUGAAGAAGAUACAAAUCGGAAUCAAGAAUCAAGUUUAGUCCAAUGUGAAUUAUCCAUCUUGGAACCAUUUUGUCAAUCGAAACACCAAAGUUUCUCGGGAAAGUCCAAAUCAAUCUACUAUUACCUGGACUAACCGGAACACACAUAAAAAUCAAAGAAAAUCUUCGAUUCGGUGGCAGUGCCUGCAAAAAAAUACUUCUUUAUUGGUAAACAACACUCGGAAAACAAAUAAUAUACUGGACCUGACAGUCCACCGGUUCAACCAGUUCAACCUGCUGAUAAAUAGCAAUAUAUAGUGAAGUGAAUGCAGAACCUUUACAAUUUCGGAAGAUGUUGCAGAUCCAUUUUCUUGAUCAACUUCGACAUCAGUAAAAGCAUGAAAGAUGCAAGGUGCAAUAAAGUUAGAACUAUCCAAAUCUUGCUUUCCAAGAAAACCAUUUAUGUCCAACUUCUUAACUUUCAUAUCAAGUGGUCUACCCCCUUCUCUAUCAACCUUCACUGUGAACCAAAAUGUGCAAUUUUAGAUGCAAGAAUUCGAUAUCGCGAAAAUACAUACAUCAAGAACCUCUUACCGGUUGGGGUCCGAGUGCACAUUAUACCAUAAUGUGCAUAUGGAACAUGAGCAGGAUCCAUAAGAUUUUCAACCAGUACCUCGUACCUGAAAAUGCAAACUUAGUUUCUUCAACAAAUUUCAGCAACUAUUGAUGAUUUACAUCCACUACAUUACUCUCUUCAUUUUUCUUAGAGUACUCGCAUAAUUUGCAUACCCAUAAGGGAUAUCUCUGUUUACCAUCGACUUUGAAAAUGAAGGAUCAUCUAAUACAGGAAAGUAAGGAGGCUUUUUCUUUGUUAUAAUAUCUUUGUAUUGAGGAUCAGCAUUUGGCCAAACCCAUACAAUAUCAUGUUGCACAACACUUGGAUAAACAGCCACACAUGCUUUCUUGAAUGUAUGGACCUGCAAAUUUGAAAACCAAAGUUAAAAUAAGAGAACCCUUUUUGCCAAUAAUGCCACACAUUACAAGCAAUUGCUUAUUACUGUUGAGGGGAGGCCGGACUCUUUAUUAGGAGAAGUUUUCAAAGUAUCAUGAGCAGACGAACCCCUCAAUGGUUGAGGUAUUGUGCUCAAGGUGUCUAUGCUCGGUUUGUCUCUCGACUCCGCAGGGAGCCCUGACAGGUCCAUAAAGUGAGAACACCUUGCCCACCAAGGAAAUAAGAGCAUUUGGCCUUGGUGGGUUUGAAACCAUGCCCUUAUAUGGCAUUAGUAGGUAAGAAUAGUACCACUUGAGCUAGUGACCUCCCCUCAACAAUUAUAAUAUCAACACUUUAAAAGAGGAUCAGUAUGUAAAUACACUAUACUAAUUGAAGUUAGGAGAUUAGUGAAGAAUACUAUACGUCCACACAUUCAUUUUUCUUAAAAUAGUCGUGUCUGACAUUCAAUCCAACACACAAAUUCGUAGAUAUGAUCCCGAGUCGUAUCUUCAAAUAUAUACAUGUAUUCAAUACUCAUACCCGAGUCAGAGUAAACACCCAUACCUAUGUCCUUACAUGUAUAGAUAUAUCAUACAUGUAGGAGAAUUAAACCCCAGAAAGUUCCAAAUAAUCCUAACAUUAGAACAGCAAAAACAGAACAUAAUUAAACAUGAUGAUAUGAACUAAAAGAAAAGGGUUACCGGGGGUCCAUCUACGGGAGCUUGAGGAAUGAUUUUGCAGUCACCGUUGCCACCAAAACACCAACCAUGGUACACACAUUGUAACCUCCCCCAUUGAUCAAUUCUUCCCUCAGAUAAAGGAGCUAAUCUAUGAGGACAAGUAUCAUCGAACACUUUCCAUUCAUUCUCGUUCUUAUCCCACCAAACCACUAGAUCAAGUCCUAAUACUUUCUUACCAUGUGGCACCCUCUUAUCCAAAUCACUUACAGGCAUCACCGGAUACCACUGUGAGUACCAAUCGAAUCUCUCUUUACCGACCUCAGCCUCAACUUCCGGCAUAGGUGGCUCAAUAGACUCCGUUGUUGAUAUUGGGGACGAUGAUAAGGUCGUAAACAACCUGGAUUUCGAUCCAUUUCUUGUAAAACAUGGUAAUUGUAAGUUCAAAUUGUGAAAGAUGGGUUUAGAAAACUGGGUUUUGUUUCUUGUUGUUGUUGGAAUGUAUGGUGAAUAAACUAUGGUAGGAGAAGCUUUGAGAACAUCCAGGGAGGAUUAUAUAUGUUGGUUUAUUUUUCUUUUGUAUUUUAACGAUUAUGGCGUUCUUAAAAAGCUUAAAAGCAAAGAGAAAACGAAGAAGAGUGAAAGAACUUGAGGCUGAAAGAGGAUGAGCGUGUGAGUAAAUGAAACGCGUGAUGGAGGUAGACUGUGUGAGUAAAGAACUUGAGGCUGUGAGGAAAUGAAACUGAGUGAUGUGAUGUGAUCUUAGUGAGGCUAAAAAUGAAUUACAAAACAGUGCUUAUUGAAAAGUCGAGGAAAUAAAACAACAAAUAGUAAUCAAUGAACACUCCCAAAGCAAAGACUUUGAAAUGUUUGCAUUUUGCAAAAGUCAACAUGACUUUGUAGGAUUACAAUGGUAGGAUUACAAUUGACUAGAUUUCUCCGUCUCGAAAGUGAGCUAAAAAAUGAGAAAGUUUGGGUAAAAAUAUAUAUUAAAAAGUAAAUUUAGGCAAAAAAUAAGGUUCAUUUUUUAAACAGAUCGUAUCUCGGAUAAGUUUUUUUGACCUAAGCCCGGCCUGGCUCAGAUACCCUUAACAAAGUAUCGAUACCCUUCCCAAAAGUAUCGACACCCUGCUUGAGAAUCAAUACCUUAGGGAAGGUAUCGAUAUCUCAUAAUAAGUAUCGAUACAUUUCCUAUUGUAUCAAUAUUAUAGGCUUUAAUAUGGGCCGAAAAGGAUCGGACCCAAGUUUAGCAUCUAUAAUCUAGGUUGAGUUUGGGCAAAAAUUUAAGCCUAUUUUUUGAAUCGAGCCCGGGCUUAUUAAUUGGACCUAAAAUUUUAUUAGGGCUUAACCCGAACCAGCCCAUGAACAACUCUACGAGGGAGGAACCAAUAAAAUAAAUGUGUUGAAAUUAGGCUCAAUUUAUACUACUUUAAAUAAUAGCUUUUUUAAAUUCGGAAUAAUCUUGAUCGCCAAAAUUAACAUGUGAAAAUUAAAAUUAACUUUUAGAAAGAAAAAAAAAGUUAAAUAUUCAAUUUGUAUUAAAUAUUUUAAUUAUUUAAGCAUUAAAUAUUUUACCAAAUUAAUAUUUAAAUCCUACUUUGUAUUAGUUUAUCAAAUUAAACUAAAAAUAUUAUUAAAUUUAUCAUAAAAAUUUAUAAUUUUAUAAAAAAAUCAAGUUAAAAGAAACUCUGGAAAACUUUGGGGGUGGAACACAAAUUUACCCUAUUUUUAAGCAUUAAUUAUAAGGUUAAUAAAAAAAAUUAAAACUUAAAUGGGUUGAAUUGAAAUUUUAUAAAAUUUAGGGGCAUCCUGUAAUGCCCCUUACCCGUAUUCAACGCCGAAACAGGGUUCGAGGCAUUACCGGACUUAAACACAAGAAAUCAUACGAUUCCGAGCCAUGAGAAUUAAUCUACAUUAAAACCAUUCAAAAACAAUAUGCUCAACAUUCAAUAACAUAAUUCAACUUGCAUGCAUGAUACAAGACUUUAUCACUUCACUUACUCCUUUGCAACUUUACCACAUUUCAAUCACAUACCGAACACAUUACUCAUGAGUAUACACAUAUAUAUAUAUAUGCACUUAUCACCACAUAGUCACACAUAAUUUCACUUAGUCGAUUUUCCCGAUGAACACUUCGGAAUAAUAACAGAUACACGGUGGUUCCGCACAUAGCACCACCCUUAUGAUCAAUGCUAUCCGGUAUACAUAGUAGCCUACACUUAGUACUACACAUAUGACCAAUACCAUCCGAUACACGUAGUAGCCUGCACAUAGUACUACACACGUGACCGAAGCUAUCCAGUACACAUAGUAGCCUGCACUUAAUAUUACAUAUGUGACCAUAACUAUCUUAUACUCAUAGUAGCCUACACAUAGUACUACACAUGAUUUCUCAUGAUGUCUUUCGUAUCCUUUUCUAUUCUGAAAGUUCAACCGGGAAAUUUGUCACUUAUUCUCACUUUGUCAAUUUCAACCAUAGUCAAUCUCAAUUCAUAAUUUACAUCAAAUAAUCAUUCAAUAUACAACCACAUCUCAUGUAAUAUAACAAAAUAUUAUAACAUAAGUAAAAACGAUAUAUUAUUUACAUACAAACUAGAGGUGAUCAUGGGUUGGGCUACCCAGCCCGGCCCGACGACCCGCCCGAAAAAUGGGAGGGUUUGGGUAAAAAUAUAGACCCGAAAUAUAGGUUUGGGCAAAAAAACGAGGCCCCUUGGGUAAAAUUAUUUUGGUCCAAGCCCGGCCUGAAUUAUAUAUUAAAUAUUUAUUUUUUAUUUUUAAUCAAUUAUAUAUAUUUUAUAUAUAUUUAAUAUGGGUCGGGCCGGGCCAGGCUCAGCAAUUUUUUUCGGGCCGGGCUUGGACAAAUUUUUAGGCCCAUAUUUCGGGCCAAGCAGGGCCCGAGCCUAGAAAAUGGGCCUAAAUUUUUAUCUGGGCCAGGCCCAAACUCAGCCCAGUCCGCCCCAUGAUCACCUCUAAUACAAACUUACCUCGACACCAAAAGGGCAAAAAGGGACAUAACCGUCAAUUCUCGUUUUUCCCCCGUUCUAGGUCCGAACCUCAUUUUCUUUGAUCUAUAAUAUCAUAUUUAGCCUAAUUAUUAGUCACAUUAUUCAAAUCAGUCCACAAUUCAUAUGUUGGUAAAAUUAUUGUUUUGCCCCUAAACUUUCACAUAUUUACAAAUUAGUCCCUAGGCUCGUAAAACGAAAUUUAUGGAAUUUCAUCCAUAUCAAAGACUAACCGAAUUAUUUAGGUGCUCAUAGCAGCCCAUAUAAUCCCCAAUUUCACUCAUAUAACUCAAAAUCUUCAUACUUUACAAAUUAACCCCUAAUAGCAUUUUACAACAAAAAUCACUUAACAAGAAAUGUUCAACACACAACAAGGUUUCAUUUUACUCCAUUAAACUUCACAAUCAACUAUCAUGCUUUCAUUUCCCAAAACCCUAGCCUUUCAAUCAUCUUGCAAAUUAGUCCCCUAUUUAGCUAGCUUAAGCUUCAAUGGUUCCAAAAACAUAUAAAUCAACAAAAACAAACAUAAAUUUCACUUACAUGCAAGGGUUUAAAUUUGCUAAAAAUUUGAGUUCUCCAAUGGCUAUUCUCUUGGUAAAAAACGGUGGAAGAAGAUGAGCAAAUGAAUAAAAAUAAUAUUUUUAUUUCUUUUUGUUUAUUUUAUCAUAUUUCGUUAUGUAUAGAUGAUGAGAUUCCAUUGAUACAGAGCCAAUUCCAAUAGACUUAUUGGAGGGUCCCAUUGGCGUGCAUCCAGUAGGAAUUGAACCUACGAAUUCGCCAAUUAUGAGUUGGGCGCUUUAACCAUUCAGCCAUGGAUGCUUAGCGAGGAUCCUCGUACAUGGUGAAUAACCAAAUUCCAAUUGGAUUGAAAUCUUUAGGAUAAAUCAAUGCAAUUUUGGAGGAAUCAAUGAAAGGACAUCAAUUCAAAUCCUGGAUUUUCGAAUUGAGAGAGAUCAAGAAUUCUCACUAUUUCUUAGAUUCAUGGACUCAAUUCAAUUCAAUGGGAUCUUUCAUUCACAUUUUUUUCCACCAAAAAUGUUUUAUAAAACUCUUAGACCCCCGAAUUUGGAGUAUCCUACUUUCACGCAAUUCACACCAACCUAACCCAUCCAACAUCAUAAUUACACUCCAUGUGCAUCCACUUUCUCUUUUAAUGAUCUAAUUACUCAAUAAGGACCUCAAAUUUUAAGUUCUAUAGCUAAUUAACACAUUUAGCUAAUAGAACAUAACUUUAGCACUUUACGCGAUUUAGUCCUUUUGACUAAAUUGAGUGCCCAAAAGUCGAAAUUUUCAAACGAUAUUUCACGAAAUUAUUCCGUAAAAUUGUAGACUAUAAAAAUAUAGUAAAAUAAAUUUUCUUACGUCGGAUUUAGGGUCCCAAAAUUACUAUUCCGACUAGGCCCAAAAUCGGGUUGUUACACAUCCCUAGUGGUAAGGUGAAAAGUCAUCGUGUGGAUAAAAAGAUAGAGAGAGUGGUUAAAAGAAAGAGAAAGAAAGUAGGAAAAAUGUUCUCUUGUAUUGUUUUUAUAGUCUCUUCCGUGCAAUGAUAAGUCGUAUAUAUGACAUCUCACAAUGUUCUCUUGUAUUGUUUUUAUAGUCUCUUCAGUACAAUGAUAAAUCAUAUAUAUGACAUCUCACAUGUCAUGACAUCACUAGCAAAAAGGUCACGUCUUGUCUUCUCACAGGUGCGGGAAUGCGAAUUCAAAGGUGGGUAAUGCAACGCCUUAAUAUGGUUAAACAAUUAACGGGUGUAAGGUUACAUAUACUCUUAACGAAGUUAGUCUAUAAUGAAGGUUCGUUCACCUUACCAUAGAGCCACUUGAUGUUAUGAGUUCAAUCAAUAGAAUUAGAUUUUUUAAAACCUUGUUCAUGGCAUGUAAUCUAGAACAUUUAAAUGUAGAGUUGAAAACACAUAAAAUAUGUAUAUUUAAUUUCUAAUCAUUGUUGGUAUAGAAAAAAAAAAAAGAUGUUCAACUAGCUUUUAACCUUACAUACAAAGUAAAGGGUGUCAUAUUCACAUAAACUUACACAAAAGCAUGGUUAUAGUCAUGGUAAUGAAAAUUCUUGUAAAUGAAAUGAGCCAACCAUUUUGAAGCUGCAAAACAAACGAUAGCCAUUGAUACCAUUGUUGUUUUAACCACCAUUGAUAUCAUGUUUUGCUUUGUUACAGCAACGAUGCCAAUCAAACCAACAGACGUGAUUUGUAGUAUUACUUCGAGUGCCUUGAGACCUUUAUGUGCAGUAUUACAACUCUUACAAUUCACCACAUGACUCCAAUACCUGCAAAACAAGAACAAAGGUUAUAAGGUAUGUUACCCGGGUUCAGAGCGUUGGAUUCACGUACAUAUUCGAUACAGGUAUGUUCAUAUGUUAGGAUACAAGCUCCCAUAUUUCGAGAAAAGUGAAGAGUCAGAGCAAUAUAAGGACAAAGUUACUAAAUUUACCUGUCCAUUAGUUGUUCUCUAGGAGGGGACGGAGGAAGAGCUCCACUAUACUUCCCUUUCCAAUCAAUCUCACCGCCGGCAUACUUGUUGAACCACCUUCGGAAACCGACUACUAAGGCAUCCGACUUUGUAGGCACGAAACAAGCUUUUUGCCAACUGGUAGCCCCGAUUUCCAUUAUUUUACGCUCCUACAUGGAGAAAUAAGGUGUAAAACAAAACGAAGUUUACUAGGCAAGAAUAUUUGCAUAUAGCUAUGUGUUAAACAUGAGUUCUUCAUAUAUUUAGAGGGUCCUUAAAAGUUGAUUGUCCAAAUAAGCAUGGAAUAUGAUUGUCAGAUACUGAGUACUCAUAAAAAAAGUGAAUGUACCUAAGAGGCCUCUCUGUUAUAGGGAUUUGAUCAAAUUAGUCCUUCAACUAUUAAAUAGAUCAAUUUAGUCCCUUUACUAUUAAAAAGAAUCAAAUAAGACCAAAUUAGAAUAGAGUUAAAAUUUACUAUUUUAAAAAGUUAAUAUUUUUAAAGUUUUUACGAUUUUGUAAAUAAAAUCUUUUGUUUAGAUUUGAGUUGCAAUUGAAAAAUAAUAAUUUUCAAUACAUUUUUUAGAUAGUGAAUGUUAACUCUAUUACAAUUUGGACUUAUUUGAUUCUUUUUAAUACUAUAAGGACUAAAUUAAUCCAUUUAAUAAUAGAGGGGACUAAUUUGAUCCAGUACCUAUACAGGUACUUUAACCCAUAAACAAAUGAAAAGUCGAAGCCAUAUAGAUUUUUUGAAUGAAACUCAUCAAAGAGCCAGAGAUAUAGGAAUCACCUCAACAUGAAGAAGAUACAAAUCGGAAUCAAGAAUCAAGUUUUGUCCAAUGUGAAAUAUCCAUCUUGGAACAAUUUUGUCAAUCCAAACACCGAAGUUUCUCGGGAAAGUCCAAAUCAAUCUACUAUUACCUGGACUAACCGGAACACACAUAAAAAUCAAAGAAAGUCUUCGAUUCGGUGGCGGUGCCUGCAAAAAAAUACUUCUUUAUUGGUAAACAACACUCGGAAAACAAAUAAUAUACUGGACCUGACAGUCCACCGGUUCAACCAGUUCAACCUGCAGAUAAAUAGCAAUAUAUAGUGAAGUGAAUGUAGAACCUUUACAAUUUCGGAAGAUGUUGCAGAUCCAUUUUCUUGAUCAACUUCGACAUCGGCAAAAGCAUGAAAGAUGCAAGGUGCAAUAAAGUUAGAACUACCCCAAUCUUGCUUUCCAAGAAAACCAUUUAUGUCCAACUUCUUAACUUUCAUAUCAAGUGGUCUACCCCCUUCUCUAUCAACCUUCACUGUGAACCAAAAUGUACAAUUUUAGAUGCAAUAAUUCGAUAUCGCGAAAAUACAUACAUCAAGAACUUCUUACCGGUUGGGGUCCGAGUGCGCAUUAGACCAUAAUGUGCAUAUGGAACAUGAGCAGGAUCCAUAAGAUUUUCAACCAGUACCUCGUACCUGAAAAUGCAAACUUAGUUUCUUCAACAAAUUUCAGCAACUAUUGACGAUAUACGUCCACUACAUUACUCUCUUCAUUUUUCUUAGAGUACUCGCAUAAUUUGCAUACCCAUAAGGGAUAUCUCUGUUUCCCAUCAACUUUGAAAAUGAAGGAUCAUCUAAUACAGGAAUGUAAGGAGGCUUUUUCUUUGUUAUAAUAUCUUUGUAUUGAGGAUCAGCAUUUGGCCAAACCCAUACAAUAUCAUGUUGCACAACACUUGGAUAAACAGCCACACAUGCUUUCUUGAAUGUAUGGACCUGCAAAUUUGAAAACCAAAGUUAAAAUAAGAGAACCCUUUUUGCCAAUAAUGCCACACAUUACAUGAAAUUGCUGAUUACUGUUGAGGGGAGGCCGGACUCUUUAUUAGGAGAAGUUUUCAAAGUAUCAUGAGCAGACGAACCCCUCAAUGGUUGAGGUAUUGUGCUCAAGGUGUCUAUGCUCGGUUUGUCUCUUUGUCUCUCGGGGAGGCCUGACGGGUCCAUAAAGUGAGAACACCUUGCCCACCAAGGAAAUAUGAGCAUUUGGCCUUGGUGGGUUUGAAACCAUGCCCUUAUAUGGCAUUAGUAGGUAAGAAUAGUACCACUUGAGCUAGUGACCUCCCCUCAACAAUUAUAAUAUCAACACUUUAAAAGAGGAUCAGUACGUAUAUACACUAUACUAAUUGAAGUUGGGAGAUCAGUGAAGAAUACUAUAUGUCCACACAUUCAUUUUUCUUAAAAUAGUCGUGUCUGACAUUCAAUCCAACACACAAAUACGAAGAUAUGAUCCCGAGUCAUAUCUUAAAAUAUAUACAUGUAUUCAAUACUCAUACCCGAGUCAGAGUAAACACCCAUACCUAUGUCCUUACAUGUAUAGAUAUAUCAUACAAGUAGGAGAAUUAAACCCCAGAAAGUUCCAAAUAAUCCUAACAUUAGAACAGCAAAAACAGAACAUAAUUAAACAUGAUGAUAUGAACUAAAAGAAAAGGGUUACCGGGGGUCCAUCUACGGGAGCUUGGGGAAUGAUUUUGCAGUCACCAUUGCCACCAAAACACCAACCAUGGUACACACAUUGUAACCUCCCCCAUUGAUCAAUUCUUCCCUCAGAUAGAGGAGCUAAUCUAUGAGGACAAGUAUCAUCGAACACUUUCCAUUCAUUCUCGUUCUUAUCCCACCACACCACUAGAUCAAGUCCUAAUACUUUCUUACCAUGUGGCACCCUCUUAUCCAAAUCACAUACAGGCAUCACCGGAUACCACUGUGAGUACCAAUCGAAUCUCUCUUUACCGACCUCAGCCUCAACUUCCGGCAUAGGUGGCUCAAUAGACUCCGUUGUUGAUAUUGGGGACGAUGAUAAGGUCGUAAACAACCUGGAUUUCGAUCCAUUUCUUGUAAAACAUGGUAAUUGUAAGUUCAAAUUGUGAAAGAUGGGUUUAGAAAACUGGGAUUUGUUUCUUGUUGUUGUUGGAAUGUAUGGUGAAUAAACAAUGGUAGGAGAAGCUUUGAGAACAUCCAUGGAGGAUUAUAUAUGUUGGUUUAUUUUUCUUUUGUAUUUUAACGAUUAUGGCGUUCUUAAAAAGCUUAAAAGCAAAGAGGAAAACGAAGAAGAGUGAAAGAACUUGAGGCUGAAAGAGGAUGAGCGUGUGAGUAAA